CCCCGCCUUGCGCCCGAUGCUCCCUGGGAUAGGCUCCAGUCAAUAUUCAAACAAGAGCUCAUAAAGACUGUUGAAAGUUGUUUUUGCUUUUCAAAUGGAACGGAGUGGAACUUCUAUCUUCCCAGAUUGCAAGGAGAUUUGUAAGAAGAUGCCUCAACUCCAAUUCUUACAUCUGUCAAGGGUUUAAAUGACUUUAACAAAUGUCACCUGAAUUUCAUGCAAUUGUUUGUUUAUUUUGUGAGUAUUUUAGUAGAAUUUUAGCAUACAAACAAAUUGCAUUUUAGGAUAAUUGUAGAGAAAAAAUAUAUAAACAACACAUCUGUUACUUUGUAUUGCAUCUUCGUGUGGAAAUGUACUAACACACUGAUUGUGUUAAAAGCAACACAAAAUGUGUUGUCCUUAACUAGACACGCAGGUGUGUUCAAAAUUAAUAUGGCGUUAUUUUAACACAUCUAUUUUAAGAGUUCAUAUCAGGUAUUUCAUGUAUUUUCUGCUCCUAGCAAGUUCAGGUAUUUCAUGUGUUCCAGCUCAAGCACACCUGGUGCAAUUGUUGAAGCCCUUGAUUAGUUGCAUCAGGUGUGCUUGAGACAACACCUGUUUUGCAUAUUAGUGCUGUUGUGAUGGAUUCUAUUCAGGCGGUUGAAUAAUUUUUAAACUGGAGAAAUCAUUAUAAGUUGCUUUUUCAGUUGAAUUUGGGGAAACCACUUGAAUCAUUCAUUGUGUUGAAAUAUUUCAAUUGCUUUUGUUUGAUUUGUUCAUUGCAAACAGCUGACAGUAUGUAAAUUUUGACAGUAAACCUGAUUUGCAAUGGAGGUUGAAUAAUUUUGAUUGCAACUGUAUCUAACUAGUUGUCAACUGGUCUUUCU
Long non-coding RNA from Ictalurus punctatus (channel catfish), 866 nucleotides. Lineage: Eukaryota; Metazoa; Chordata; Actinopteri; Siluriformes; Ictaluridae. The record is from Ensembl.